This 2385-nucleotide ribosomal RNA is filed under the name Triticum aestivum (bread wheat). RNAcentral's name for it is "partial small subunit ribosomal RNA". The record is from RNAcentral. Lineage: Eukaryota; Viridiplantae; Streptophyta; Magnoliopsida; Poales; Poaceae.
CUUCUCUAAUUCCCCCCGUAUCCAUUAUAUGUCCCCACCCGUCAAAGACCCAGCCAAAUUCCCUCCCUUCUAAUUCACCCGCGGCGGGACACCGCUAAAAGCCACAACCCACCCCGCAUUUUCUUCAUAGAUAGAUUCAUCUGGCUCUCUUCUUCCCCAGAUUGCAGCGACCGGCGAUGGUACUUUGGGGGAGGUCGCCCUGCGCCCAGGCCGUGCUCGGGCCUCGGAUCCAGCGCAACAACUUGCCCCGCGAGCACCCCCUCUUCUCCCAGAUUGCAGCGACCGGCGACGGCAGAUUGGAGCAGGCCGCCCCACCGGCCGAGAUGGGAUCCACCGCACCGACCCUACCUGUGAGAACCCGACCCUCUUGUCUCCCCAAUUGAAGCGACCAACGACGACUCUCUAGAUUGAAGGAGGCCACUGCAUCGCCGAUCUUGGAUCCACCGCAUCAACCUGACUCGAGCACCCGGCUCUCUUCUCUCCUACAAUGGGCGGUGUCUCUCAGUGAUUUACUCAUCCUGCCCUCCUCAUGUCGCCACCGCUUGAUGUUCAGUGAUUCGGGUUCAUGCAUACUACUCGGCAUCCUGCUCUUCUAUGUAAUUUAGGAUUUGCCACAACUUGCUAUGGUAAAAAGCCUGAACCUCUUGCCAAUUAACUUUUGAGAUCCUAUUGAUAGAUGUGUGUAUAACUGCACUAGUGAACAUGAUUUUGCAUUUGUUAUAGCCUGCUAUUGUAAAAAGGCCUGAACCUGAAUAUAUGCUACUGCAGUACAGUUAGCCGUUGUGCAAAAGUUCAGUUAGCUAUCAUAUGCAUGGCCUUAGCUGAGAGAUUUCUUUUGCAGCCAUGUGCUAGUAUGGCUACUCUCGCAUACAAAAGGAAACUAUAUGUUGACCAUCUGAUUGUUGAACCCUGCUGUAAUGACAAAAACUAGAUCCUCUUGAUCGUUGAAUGGUGUCAUAAUCGUAUGAACAUAAACACAUGAACUAAAGUAUGCAAGUACAAGCAGGAAGCAGCACAUCCUUGUAUCCUUGCAUCCUUGUAUCUACAUGUCCGAAUAAACUAGCUUCUGGAUGCAACUACUAUAUGUAUGCUAAAACCUGAAACUUAUGGUUCUACUGUCCCAUAAAUAGUACUUCAGUAGUGUUGAAGACUGAGCCUGCGCUUAAUUUUGACUUGCUACAGAGAUGUAUAGCCCUGCACUAGUGUACUUUUCUCUCCAAUACUAGAUAAAAGAGAACUAAACUUAAUCUUUUCCAUGCCUCUCCUAAUUGAUUAGCUACCCAUGAUGUUAAGCAUCUGAAGCCCACAAGCAUUUCAGUACGCCUAGAACUUGAUACAAGCAGAUACAUGGUAAACUUCAGUUUUUGACUAUAUUAUGACAUACUAAACUGGUUAAAUCAAUCUGCUCCUAAUCUUGGAUGAAUAUAGUAAAUUUUAUGGUUUUCUGAACUAUGCCAGCAGCUAUAGUAAUCAUAUUUUUUGAUGUUUUUAUUCUGAACAUUCUGAUCUUGUUUUCAUGGUUUGUUGUCUGCGUCUCCCUGACUGUGCCCCAGCUGCAUCAUGCAUGUUGAUUGCUUCACAUGUUAGAUCCUAAUGAAUGAAAUCUUCAUUUUCUAUUUAUAUAAUCUGACAUGAAUUGCUUGUUGGCAGUGCUGCCUGUUUACGUCUAUUUUACGCAAUCUAGUUCUUUUUGUCUACGACCAAUGCGAAGCCAACUUUUAACAGGUAAGUCAAUGUAAUCAGUUACGUUACAAGUACUACAUCCAUAUGCUUACCCAUAGUGCAAGAAAGAGUAAAUGCUUUUCAUUAAUUUCACUUUCACUAUUACUGAUAUAUAAUAUUAGUGCAUCAUGUGUUUGCAUCCUAACUUAUCUACUUUAUUAUAUUCAGAUGUAAGCUACAAAAAAGUACAUUUGCACAUAUAAAAUGGCUGCAUCUUUUAAGCUAGUAAAAUAAUGCCACCAAGCGAGAGCAUGUGAAGAGACGCAUAGUAAGCAACACGAAGAAUUGGAAGCUGUGAAGAAGAGCGGGCAAGAGAAGAAUGAAGCAUGGCAAAAGAAGCAACAUGAGAUGGAUAACCUCAUUGGUUUUCUCUUAAGGGCUCAAGCAAGUCAGCAAGCAACUCAACAGUCCUAGUCCAAACCAGAAGGUGCAUGAAGACCAUCCUUUUGUGAUGGAAGUAGUUGUUGAAUCAUACAUUGCAAUCAUCAUGACAACACAUGUUGUUUUUAGUUAUAUAAAUAUUGCUUUUCAACUUGACUAUUGUUGUGUCAAACUCGUGAGUUGGUGUUAUUUUGUACUGUCAUUUUUGUUGAGAGGACAAUUAGGCUGAGAGAUUGAAUAUAUAGUAUGAUUUGUCUUCCAUUUUAUUUUAUGAUGUGAUUU